UUGACGGGGAGCACCACAACGGGUGGAGCUUGCGGUUUAAUUGGAUUCAACGCCGGAAAUCUUACCGGGACCGACAGCAAUAUGAAGGCCAGGCCGAAGACUUUGCCGGAUUAGCUGAGAGGUGGUGCAUGGCCGUCGUCAGUUCGUACUGUGAAGCAUCCUGUUAAGUCAGGCAACGAGCGAGACCCACGCCCACAGUUGCCAGCGUACUCUCUGGAGUGACGGGUACACUGUGGGGACCGCCGCUGCUAAAGCGGAGGAAGGAAUGGGCAACGGUAGGUCAGUAUGCCCCGAAUAUCCCGGGCUACACGCGAGCUACAAUGGUUGGUACAAUGGGUAUCUACCCCGAAAGGGGACGGGAAUCUCCUAAAACCAAUCUUAGUUCGGAUUGAGGGCUGCAACUCGCCCUCAUGAAGCUGGAAUCCGUAGUAAUCGCGUUUCAACAGAACGCGGUGAAUAUGUCCCUGCUCCUU
Molecule: ribosomal RNA, 473 nt
Filed under: uncultured Methanosaeta sp.
Lineage: Archaea; Methanobacteriati; Methanobacteriota; Methanomicrobia; Methanotrichales; Methanotrichaceae
Description: bacterial SSU rRNA
Rfam family: Archaeal small subunit ribosomal RNA
Source: RNAcentral